Molecule: ribosomal RNA, 422 nt
Filed under: uncultured bacterium
Lineage: Bacteria
Description: partial 16S ribosomal RNA
Rfam family: Bacterial small subunit ribosomal RNA
Source: RNAcentral
AAUCUGGCACAAGGGACGAAAGGCUGAUGGAGCAAGGCCGCGUGAGUGAAGAAGGAUUUCGGAUCGUAAAACUCUUUUGUAAGGGAAGAACAAGUACAGUAGUAACUGGCUGUCACUUGACGGUACCUUAUUAGAAAGCAACGACUAACUACGUUUCAGCAGCCGCGGUAAUACGUAGGUGGCAAGCGUUGUCCGGAAUUAUUGGGCGUAAAGCGCGCGCAGGCGGUCCUUUAAGUCUGAUGUGAAAGCCCACGGCUCAACCGUGGAGGGUCAUUGGAAACUGGGGGACUUGAGUGCAGAAGAGGAAAGUGGAAUUCCAAGUGUAGCGGUGAAAUGCGUAGAGAUUUGGAGGAACACCAGUGGCGAAGGCGACUUUCUGGUCUGUAACUGACGCUGAGGCGCGAAAGCGUGGGGAGCAAACA